RNAcentral lists this long non-coding RNA (217 nucleotides) under Vitis vinifera (wine grape). RNAcentral describes it as "long non-coding RNA (VVIN_LNC006980)". The record is from RNAcentral. Lineage: Eukaryota; Viridiplantae; Streptophyta; Magnoliopsida; Vitales; Vitaceae.
AUGAAGUUAAUCUUCAAGCUCUCCAUGACACAAACCUUUUUGUAUCAUAUCACCCUAAUUAGGAAUUUGGGACACUUCCUAACAAUCUCCACCUUGGACCAAAUUUCAUGAAGUUAAUCUUCAAGCUCUCCAUGACACAAACCUUUUUGUAUCAUAUCACCACGAAAGAGCAAUCGACUCCACCUUCAGUGAAAAUUCAUUUUGUUUUCAUCUUGUG